GGAACCGCAGCUCAACAGGCAGAGCGUCUGGUUGAAGCCCAGAAGACGCUGGUUCGACCCCAGCCGGUUCCACCA
RNAcentral lists this transfer RNA (75 nucleotides) under Oscillospiraceae bacterium. RNAcentral describes it as "tRNA-Phe". It matches the Rfam family "tRNA". Rfam says of the family: Transfer RNA (tRNA) molecules are approximately 80 nucleotides in length. Their secondary structure includes four short double-helical elements and three loops (D, anti-codon, and T loops). Further hydrogen bonds mediate the characteristic L-shaped molecular structure. tRNAs have two regions of fundamental functional importance: the anti-codon, which is responsible for specific mRNA codon recognition, and the 3' end, to which the tRNAs corresponding amino acid is attached (by aminoacyl-tRNA synthetases). tRNAs cope with the degeneracy of the genetic code in two manners: having more than one tRNA (with a specific anti-codon) for a particular amino acid; and 'wobble' base-pairing, i.e. permitting non-standard base-pairing at the 3rd anti-codon position. Lineage: Bacteria; Bacillati; Bacillota; Clostridia; Eubacteriales; Oscillospiraceae. The record is from RNAcentral.